This 260-nucleotide ribosomal RNA is filed under the name Clostridioides difficile. RNAcentral's name for it is "partial 23S ribosomal RNA". It matches the Rfam family "Bacterial large subunit ribosomal RNA", at positions 2418 to 2677 of the family's 2925-position model. Lineage: Bacteria; Bacillati; Bacillota; Clostridia; Peptostreptococcales; Peptostreptococcaceae. The record is from RNAcentral.
AUCCGGUGGUUCUGCGUGGAAGGGCCAUCGCUCAACGGAUAAAAGCUACCCUGGGGAUAACAGGCUUAUCUCCCCCAAGAGUCCACAUCGACGGGGAGGUUUGGCACCUCGAUGUCGGCUCAUCACAUCCGGGGGCUGUAGUAGGUCCCAAGGGUUGGGCUGUUCGCCCAUUAAAGUGGUACGCGAGCUGGGUUCAGAACGUCGUGAGACAGUUCGGUCCCUAUCCGUCGCAGGCGUAGGAAAUUUGAGAAGACCUGUCC